This 276-nucleotide ribosomal RNA is filed under the name uncultured bacterium. RNAcentral's name for it is "partial 16S ribosomal RNA". It matches the Rfam family "Bacterial small subunit ribosomal RNA", at positions 399 to 691 of the family's 1533-position model. The record is from RNAcentral.
GCGUGGAUGAUGAAGGCCCUUGUGGUUGUAAAAUCCUUUCGUCGGUGAAGAUAAUGACUGUAGCCGAAGAAGAAGCCCCGGCUAACUCCGUGCCAGCAGCCGCGGUAAUACGGAGGGGGCUAGCGUUGUUCGGAAUUACUGGGCGUAAAGCGGGUGUAGGCGGAUAGGCAAGUCGGGGGUGAAAUCCCAGGGCUCAACCUUGGAAUUGCCCUCGAUACUACCUGUCUGGAGUCUGGGAGAGGUGAGCGGAAUUCCGAGUGUAGAGGUGAAAUUCGU